ACAUUUUGUCUGCCCUGGAAUAUCAGAAGAAACACACAGAGUGAGCAACAGUGUGAGUGGUGGCCAAGAAUGUGGGAAUCCACUGCUAGGAGCAGUCACCACCAAGAGAAGAAAGAAGCAUCAAGGAUUCCCAGAAUUCUAACCAGAUUGUGCAGAUGGAUCUAACAUCUUCAAAGGCUGAAUCCACAGGUGUCAUUCCCACCCUACUCUGAGCAGAAUAUAUCAUAGAUCAUCCAGACUUGCCCUCUUCUGGAUUUUGGAUUUACUGGUUUCAAGCACCUCAACAGACGACCUUACAUAGGGAUUCAGGACUCCAAGGAUUGACCACUCUGUUACAAUAAUAUUUUAAUUUAUGGAUGGAGCUCUGGAAAAAGAAACCAUGAGGAACAAGUCAGCAUUGGCAGAAGAUUAGGUUAGAAAUUUGAUAGACUUUUCUCUCUCUAAUUGUAUGAUACUAUGAAUAUUGAAUAACACAAGGUUCACAAUCUUGUCUUCUUCUGUUAUUAAAUAAUACUAACAAAUGGUGUAAAUACAGCUUAAAAAGACAUGUCGUUGUCACCACAAAGACACUAUGUAUCACACAGUAGCAGUGCUUUGACUCCAGCCAAAACAACCUCCCACUCAGGUGCACAGAAGGUUAGGUAUGUUGUUAUGACUCAGAUUUGGGUGAUUGGAGUAGGAGUGGGAAAGUAAAAGUGCUAGAGUAACUCAAGCAUUGAACUAAUUGUGAAGGGAGAUUAGUGGACUCUCCUUUCAUUCCUGUACUUUCUAAAAAAACCUGUGGAGAUGUCUCAGAAAAAAUUGAUCUUGGCUAGCUAGCAAACUCAACAUCAUCAAGCUCUUGUGUACCAUACUUGAGCAACAAUAUAUGUGCCAUUGCUGAUUGAGGGAUGGAUUAGGCUGGACAAAAUUUGACCGGACUUGAACAUUUGCCCAUUGCUGAAACUCGUCUAACCCUUUAUAAAGAUGGGGAAAGUUUGGUAAUUUAAAAUAUUGAUAUAGUUCUUUGUUUGAAUUUAUGUCCAUAAAAAUGUUACCUGUCCCAGUUUAUGGGUGCC
This is a long non-coding RNA of Gopherus flavomarginatus (Mexican gopher tortoise), 1058 nucleotides long. RefSeq lists it as uncharacterized. The transcript has 4 exons. NCBI's taxonomy places the organism in Eukaryota, Metazoa, Chordata, Testudines, Testudinidae. The record is from RefSeq and is a predicted model, not a curated record.